UGUCCCCCGAGCCGCCGACCGGGCCUCGAACGGGAUGGCAGAGGAGGUGAGGAGGGAGAAGCGUCCGGAGUGGGGCGGGCCCGGACUCCGACCCCCGGGGCGCUUCGAGCCCCCCAGCGGGUCACCGAGGCACCGCCGCUCCACCCAGGCCAGUAGCCGCCCCCUCGCGCACCCCGGCCCCGCCUCACACGCGCGCCCGAGCGAGCCCCGGGCUCCCCUCGGGCCCAGCGCGGCGCAGGGGUCAGUGGUUCUCUCGGGUCUCGGGACAGGUGAGCACCCUGAUGAAGGCCACAGUCCUGAUGCGGCAGCCUGGGCGGGUGCAGGAGAUCGUGGGCGCCCUCCGCAAGGGCGGCGGAGAUCGGUUACAGAAGGCGCCCACACCAGUACCUAGGGCCUUAUCCUCCCCAAGCCAGCGGCUCCCCAGUGAUUUCUGAUUUUGACAUGACCUUGAGCAGGUUUGCAUAUAAUGGAAAGCGAUGCCCUUCUUCUUACAAUAUUCUGGAUAAUAGCAAGAUCAUCAGUGAGGAGUGUCGGAAAGAGCUCACAGCACUCCUUCACCACUAUUACCCAAUUGAGAUCGACCCACACCGGACCGUCAAGGAGAAGCUACCUCAUAUGGUGGAAUGGUGGACCAAAGCGCACAAUCUCCUAUGUCAGCAGAAGAUUCAGAAGUUUCAGAUAGCCCAGGUGGUUAGAGAGUCCAAUGCAAUGCUCAGGGAGGGAUACAAGACCUUCUUCAACACACUCUACCAUAACAACAUUCCCCUUUUCAUCUUUUCUGCGGGCAUUGGUGAUAUCCUGGAAGAAAUUAUCAGACAGAUGAAAGUGUUCCACCCCAACAUCCACAUCGUGUCUAACUACAUGGAUUUUAAUGAAGAUGGUUUUCUCCAGGGAUUUAAGGGCCAGCUCAUACACACAUACAACAAGAACAGCUCUGUGUGUGAGAACUCUGGUUACUUCCAGCAACUUGAGGGCAAAACCAAUGUCAUCUUGCUGGGAGACUCCAUCGGGGACCUCACCAUGGCCGAUGGGGUUCCUGGUGUGCAGAACAUUCUCAAGAUUGGCUUCCUGAAUGACAAG
This 1080-nucleotide small RNA is filed under the name Pongo abelii (Sumatran orangutan). RNAcentral describes it as "retained intron". The record is from RNAcentral. Lineage: Eukaryota; Metazoa; Chordata; Mammalia; Primates; Hominidae.